Molecule: ribosomal RNA, 857 nt
Filed under: uncultured bacterium
Lineage: Bacteria
Description: bacterial SSU rRNA
Rfam family: Bacterial small subunit ribosomal RNA
Source: RNAcentral
UACAGAGGGUGCGAGCGUUAAUCGGAUUUACUGGGCGUAAAGCGUGCGUAGGCGGCUUUUUAAGUCGGAUGUGAAAUCCCCGAGCUUAACUUGGGAAUUGCAUUCGAUACUGGGAAGCUAGAGUAUGGGAGAGGAUGGUAGAAUUCCAGGUGUAGCGGUGAAAUGCGUAGAGAUCUGGAGGAAUACCGAUGGCGAAGGCAGCCAUCUGGCCUAAUACUGACGCUGAGGUACGAAAGCAUGGGGAGCAAACAGGAUUAGAUACCCUGGUAGUCCAUGCCGUAAACGAUGUCUACUAGCCGUUGGGGCCUUUGAGGCUUUAGUGGCGCAGCUAACGCGAUAAGUAGACCGCCUGGGGAGUACGGUCGCAAGACUAAAACUCAAAUGAAUUGACGGGGGCCCGCACAAGCGGUGGAGCAUGUGGUUUAAUUCGAUGCAACGCGAAGAACCUUACCUGGCCUUGACAUACUAGAAACUUUCCAGAGAUGGAUUGGUGCCUUCGGGAAUCUAGAUACAGGUGCUGCAUGGCUGUCGUCAGCUCGUGUCGUGAGAUGUUGGGUUAAGUCCCGCAACGAGCGCAACCCUUUUCCUUACUUGCCAGCAUUUCGGAUGGGAACUUUAAGGAUACUGCCAGUGACAAACUGGAGGAAGGCGGGGACGACGUCAAGUCAUCAUGGCCCUUACGGCCAGGGCUACACACGUGCUACAAUGGUUGGUACAGAGCGUCGCAAAGCCGUGAGGUGGAGCUAAUCGCACAAAACCAAUCGUAGUCCGGAUCGCAGUCUGCAACUCGACUGCGUGAAGUCGGAAUCGCUAGUAAUCGUGAAUCAGAAUGUCACGGUGAAUACGUUCCCGGGUCU